GAAUUCUUUCUAAGAUUAAUUUCAGAUUAAAAAAUAACAGAAUAGGUGCAGCCUGACACAUUCUUUUGCUGGGAUGAGCCCAUUUGCCGGGGUGGGAUGGAGGAGAACUCAGAGAUUAAAUCACAUGCAGACGAUUUCUCUGCCACGACACCGAGAGAACCAAAAAAGGAAAAAAGGCAGAACAGUGCUGCUAGAGGCUUGCUCCUCUACUUACUAACAGUCUAAUGCUCGGCAAUAUGGGACCUGGGUUACCAGGAACCUCUGAAGCAAGGGCACAGGCUGCCAUCAAUAGGUGGAAGGUAAGGAAGCAGAAGAACAGUAAGAGAAUUUCUUGGAGGCUUGGAAACAGAACUCUGCAUGGGGAAGCUUUCUUCCCGAAGUACUCGUGUAAGACCCAGGAAAGGAAGCUCAAGGUGUUCGCUUCCCACUUCAUCCACCCAAGCAAAGGCUGUUGGCUAGCUUAGGGGGCACAGGUCAAGCUGCAAUGCACUCAAGUUUCUCCUCCAAUACUUUGCUGGCACCUGCCAGAAUCUGCCACCUGCAGCAGCUACUUCAUUCCACCAAAUGUUAGGGCACCAGAACCAUCCUCCUUGAGUUCCAUCUAAGCUCACAUCUGCCCCCACAUCUUGUGGCAAUGAGUUCCACAGAUGAACUGUGUACUACCUGUGUCAAAAUCCUUCCGUUCGCCUGGCCUGCCUCUCCAGCCCCUUUCACCUGGGGUCCACAGACAACUCUAUCCACUUUGCCAUACCCAUUACACUUGCACAUAUUUUUUCUAAAACAACACCACCAAAAUGUCCCCAAACAUGUCCACCUUUCCCCAAAAUACCUUGCAUUGCAAGACAGCCAAAUAAUGUUGCUGGAAAGUGUUAUCAUUGCCUCUCACGCUACUGUGUGCUUUGCAGCUAUGCUCAGAGGAAUUCUGAGGAACGGGCAGGUGACAGCGUGAGUCACUGCCAGCCCUGGUUCCACUACGCCACCGUCUCUGACACUAUUAUUAAGUCUGGGAUCCAAACCUCAUGACAUUUAAGAGGCCCAUGGUGGGAUCUAACUGGUAUUGCUUACUGGGAAGGAGCUCUGGAGCUCCAAAUCUGAUUGCACCGGGAGAACAUUUAAUUCCGUUUCUCUUACCCUGGUCCCACCAUCAAAAUUGUCCCUAGUCUCCAAUCUGGAAACUUCAGGUAGCUCCUGGAGAGGAAAGUGAUGAUACAAGGUGUGUGGCUUGCCUGGAGGAUUCCCUGCUUUAAGGAUUCCUUCAUACCCAAAUCAUGGAGGAGACAUACAGGAACAAGCAGGAAUUUGUCAACUGAAAAGGAAAUUUAAAAUAAAAAUGGCAAUGCUUAGAGCAA
Long non-coding RNA from Varanus komodoensis (Komodo dragon), 1349 nucleotides. RefSeq lists it as uncharacterized. NCBI's taxonomy places the organism in Eukaryota, Metazoa, Chordata, Lepidosauria, Squamata, Varanidae. The transcript has 2 exons. The record is from RefSeq and is a predicted model, not a curated record.